GGAGUUCGCUCUGUCUUUCGGUGUCUUCUAGACUGAAGCCCACUGUGUCCAGGGCAAGCUCCCCGACCAACUCCGACUCUUGCUGUUUCCAAGGUUCCAGCUUCUUGUUUUCCAGAUGCUAUUUGCAGACCACGCAGUGACCCAUUCGUCCUUGUACCGCUGGGUUAGGGUCUCCCCGACCUAGCUGGUCUCGGCAAGUGGCGUCCAUUGUGGGGACUCGAAUCCAGGUCGAAGAGUUGCCAGAACAAUGGUUGGAAUGGAAAACUAGCUGGAGGACACUCGAGUACUCUUAAAGCAAUCCCUGUGAUGCAGUAUUACCUGGAAAGAAGCUAAAGCUAUUAUCCAGCGAUGCCCAACUUGCCAAAUGGCACGUUCCUCAUCUUUUACAGGAGGAGUUAACCCUCGAGGACUGGAACCUAACUCUCUUUGGCAAAUGGAUAUCACCCAUGUCCCCUCGUUUGGGAGACUAGCUUAUGUACAUGUAUGUGUGGACACCUUUUCUCACUUUGUAUGGGCUACAUGCCCAUCAGGAGAGCCUUCUGCCUGUGUUAAACGUCAUCUUUUGCAGUAUUUUGCGGUGGUGGCAUUCCAGCUUCUAUUAAAACAGAUAAUGCCCCAGGCUAUACUAGCCAAGCUCUAGCUACAUUUUUCUCUAUGUGGAAUAUUAAACAUGUUACUGGUAUCCCAUACGAUUCUCAAGGACAAGCCAUAGUGGAAAGAAUGAAUCUCUCCCUAAAACAGCAGUUGCAAAAGCAGAAAGGGGGAGACAGAGUAUAUGGAACCCCAUAGAUGCAACUGAACCUAGCAUUCUUAACUUUAAAUUUUUUGAGCCUGCCCAAAGACCAGAUGUUAUCAGCAGCUGAACAGCAUCUACAGAAACCAGCUGCAAAGACAAAAGCAGAACAACUGGUUUGGUGUAGAGAUCCGAUUACAAAACGUUGGGAAAUAGGUAAAAUAAUAACUUGGGGUAGAGGUUAUGCUUGUGUUUCUCCAGGCCAAAAUCAACAGCCGAUUUGGAUACCAUCAAGACACCUGAAACCUUAUCAUGAGCCAGAUGCAGAGGAAGAGAUUCCAGGAGGAUCCCGAGGACCCCCGGUUGCAGCCAUGUCAAGACUGACGCUGCGGAGGGCCCCAACUGUCACGAGCAAUACCCAUCGAACACAGUCACCCACCUGGGGACAGAACAAGAAGCUGUCACAGAUGGCAGAAGAAAACCUGAGGAAAGCGGGACAACCAGUCACAAUGAAUAAUUUAAUGAUAGCUCUGAUAGCGGUUAUCACCACUGCCGUGAGUCCUCCUUCAAUAAGGGCUUACACGGAGAACAGUUCUACUUAUUGGGCAUAUUUAUCCAUCUUGGCUGGCAAUAAUGCCUGGAUGCAAUCACUCUGACACAGUUACACAUGCUUUCUGAUCUCAGUAUUUACCAUAAUAAAUCUGCUCUUAUAAUUGACACACACCACCCUCAAAAACCUAUUUGUAAACAGGAUUGGAACCAGUUAGAAAAAAUGAACGUACUUGUUUAGGAAGAUUGCAUUGCAGAACAGGCAGAGGUGCUGCACAGCAAUUCCUGAGGAAUCAUUAUUAAUUGGUCCCCCAAGGGGAUGUUUAGCUUGAACUGCACCUCUCAGUCUGCGUGCCACGGCCACACUAUGUUCAGAUGAUCUGAACAAAACGGUCAGAUGGUAGAAAUGGUAAGAAGUACGGCAAGAGUUCCUAUUAUCUGGAACCAUGGCGGUAUAGUAGCACCUCAACCUCAAAUGAUGUGGGCCGCUCUAGGAGCUUAACAUAAGGAUUUAAAAUGUAAAGAACAAAUAUUUAAAGCAUCCCAGGCACACCUGACCUUAAUUCCAGGACCUGGAGUGCUCAAAGGAGCUGAAAAUGGAGAAAAACACUUGGAAGCUCUGUGAUUUCAAAGAUGAUUGUGCUUUUAAUCUGUGUUGUUUGUCUUUGUAUAGUCUGCAGAUGUGGAUCCUGACUCCUGCAAGAAGUAGCUCACUGUGACAAAGCUGCCUUUGCUUUUAUCGAUUUGCAAAUCAGAGAAGGGGGACAUAUUGGGAGCAGGCCCCCCAAAAUCUGGCCAUAAACUGGCCCCAAAACUGGCCAUAAACAAAAUCUCUGCAGCACUGUAACAUGUUCAUAAUGGCCCCUAAUGCCCAAGCUGGAAGGUUGUGGGUUUACAGGAAUGAGGGCGAGGAACACCUGGCCCGCCCAGGGUGGAAAACCGCUUAAAGGCAUUCUUAAGCCAAACAAUAGCAUGAGUGAUCUGUGCCUUAAGGACAUGCUCCUGCUGCAGUUAACUAGCCCAACCUAUUCCUUUAAUUCGGUCCAUCCCUUCGUUUCCCGUAAGGGAUACUUUUAGUUAAUUUAACAUCUAUAGAAGCAAUGCUAAUGACUGGUUUGCUGUUAAUAAAUUCGUGGGUAAAUCUCUGUUCAGGGCUCUCAGCUCUGAAGCUGUGAGACCCCCGAUUUCCCACUUCCCAUGUCUA
Pan troglodytes (chimpanzee) is the source of this 2486-nucleotide long non-coding RNA. RefSeq lists it as uncharacterized. The record is from RefSeq and is a predicted model, not a curated record. The transcript is spliced from 3 exons. Lineage: Eukaryota; Metazoa; Chordata; Mammalia; Primates; Hominidae.